Molecule: small nuclear RNA, 187 nt
Filed under: Chinchilla lanigera (long-tailed chinchilla)
Lineage: Eukaryota; Metazoa; Chordata; Mammalia; Rodentia; Chinchillidae
Description: U2 spliceosomal RNA (ENSCLAG00000020881.1)
Rfam family: U2 spliceosomal RNA
About the family: U2 is a small nuclear RNA (snRNA) component of the spliceosome (involved in pre-mRNA splicing).
Source: Rfam by way of RNAcentral
AUUGCUUCAUCACCUUUUGGCUAAGAUUAAGUAGUAUCUGUUAUCAGUUUAAUAUCUUGAUACGUCCUCUAUCCAAGGACAAUAUAUUAAAUGGAUUUUUGCAGCUGGGAGAUGGAAUAGAAGCUUGCUCCAUCCGCUCUACACAUUGUCCUGGUAUUGCUGUACCUCCGGGAACAGUGCACCCCUG